CCUCCGAGUGGUGGAUAACCUUCCGAAAGGAGGGCUAAUACAGCAUAAGACCACGCCUUCGAAAGCAGGUGAGGUCAAAGCCGGCCUCUAUACAUAAGCUGGCGCUUGGAGAUGAGCCUGCGGCCCAUCAGCUAGUUGGUAGGGUAAUGGCCUACCAAGGCAAAGACGGGUAGCUGGUCUGAGAGGAUGAUCAGCCACACUGGAACUGAGACACGGUCCAG
Molecule: ribosomal RNA, 221 nt
Filed under: uncultured bacterium
Lineage: Bacteria
Description: partial 16S ribosomal RNA
Rfam family: Bacterial small subunit ribosomal RNA
Source: RNAcentral